This 319-nucleotide ribosomal RNA is filed under the name uncultured eukaryote. RNAcentral describes it as "partial 18S ribosomal RNA". It matches the Rfam family "Eukaryotic small subunit ribosomal RNA", at positions 1470 to 1796 of the family's 1831-position model. The record is from RNAcentral.
CCCUUAGAUGUUCUGGGCAGCACGCGCGCUACAAUGGUCUUCGCAAACGGAUGCAUUCUCGAAGGAGAAUGCCAAUCUUGGAAUCUAUGCCUUGGUCGGGACAGUUGCUUGCAAUUUUUCGACUCGAACCAGGAAUUCCUUGUAAUCGUGAUUCAUCACAUCACGAUGAAUACGUCCCAGCCCUUUGUACACACCGCCCGUCGCUCCUACCGAUCGAAGAGUUAGGUGAAUUGUUUUGAUCGAUAAGAUUUGACUAUGGUCAACUCUCGUUGUGAAAUUCUGUGAAUCUGACUGUUUAGAGGAAGGAAAAGUCGUAACA